GUGGGUGGGGGCAUCUCGGAGGAGGUGGGGGGUGUGGCGCCCAGUGGAUGACUCUGAGCGGCUCCUUUCCCAG
Molecule: microRNA precursor, 73 nt
Organism: Chlorocebus sabaeus (green monkey)
Lineage: Eukaryota; Metazoa; Chordata; Mammalia; Primates; Cercopithecidae
Source: Ensembl